This 497-nucleotide ribosomal RNA is filed under the name uncultured bacterium. Its description in RNAcentral is "partial 16S ribosomal RNA". It matches the Rfam family "Bacterial small subunit ribosomal RNA", at positions 28 to 507 of the family's 1533-position model. The record is from RNAcentral.
GAUGAACGCUGGCGGCGUGCCUAAUACAUGCAAGUCGAGCGAACAGAUGAGGAGCUUGCGCCGCUGACGUGAGCGGCGGACGUGUGAGUAACACGUGGAUAACCUACCUAUAAGACUGGGAUAACCUCGGGAAACCGGAGCUUAUACCGGAGAAUCUACUGAACCGCAUGGUUGAAUAGUGAAAGACGGUUUUGCUGUCACUUAUAGAUGGAUCCGCGCCGCAUUAGCUAGUUGGGAAGGUAACGGCUUACCAAGGCAACGAUGCGUAGCCGACCUCAGAGGGUGGUCGCCCGCCCUGGAGCUGGGCCGCGGUCCAUACUCCUACGGGAGGCCGCAGUAUGGUAUCUUCCGCAGUGGGCGGGAGCCUUACGGAACGACGCCGCGCGAGUGACGGCGGUCUUCGGAUCGUAAAACUCUCUUUUUAGUGGUAAACCACUUUGUAAGUUGCUAAGCACGUCUUGACGGUAACUGGUCAGAAAGCCCCGGCUAACUACGUG